GAACGUCCACCCAUAUUUCGCUGUGAAAUUUGGAAAUAAAAUAGAAUCUUUUAACUUGUUCAUAGUUCUAAAUUCCAAAAGCAUUGUUACAGCGUUAGGGUUUUUCCGCCCACCACAUAUAUUACUUACUCAGCGCUAAAUCGAUCAAGCAACAAUUUACCGGCGAUCGGAAUGGCUAGUCCGGUUGUGCAAUACAAUGACGAAACAUGUGGAACUUUUUCAGUCGAAGGAACCAGGGAAGGUGAAAAUGUAUGUUUGCGGCGUUGUACCAUGUUGGCCAUGCCCGGCCCGUGCCUAUGUCGUCUGCAACAUUCUCUACAGAGGUUAAUUCUCGUUGAUAGUUUUCCGGAGAAUGGUGGUUGAUUAUCUGCUGGACGGAAAUUAGAAAGAAAAGCCAAAUCCUGCUGAUUUUGCCUUGGGUAAGGCUGCAAAGACUGAUGUACCAAGUUGGAAGACUGGAUUGGCAUAUUGAGUGCGGUGCAAUGAGCACACACUAUCUAACACAUUCCUUUGAUGUACAUUGUGGUGGAAUUGACGUGAUUUUUCCUCACCAUAAGGAGUCGACUUUUCACUGUACAGGAAGUUACUCGAUUGUACCAUCCCCUUGGAUUAAGGUACUUGUCAUCAUCAACAGUACUAAAUGGGGUGGCUGCAUCUGUUGUUAGCGAUAAGGCCCCAGAAUGCAUUGCUGAUGAUUUGCAUACGCCUACAAUUUUAAAAGAUGCUCUUCAGGAUGCGUUUAUUAAUAAUUAUGUGAUAAGCCCACAAGAGUAUGUUUUGUCCUUAACUAAGAUUGAAAAAGUAGUGAAGGCAGUGCUGGAUGUCCUUGGAUUGCUUGCCUCAUGCUUGAGGUUUUGCAGCAGUUGAAAGAGGUCUGUUAUGUUUUCAAUCCACACUAUUAAGUUUGUGAUGUGUGUUCUGUGAAACUCUUUAAACAUUAUGAGAACAAACCAAGUUAUUGUUUUAUUAAGAUCCUCCUGCUGGAAAGAAAUCUAGACAAGAGUUCCACUGGAAAAACAGAAAAAUAUGCAUAAAUAUUAUUAACAGAUGAGGCACUAGUGAAGUAAGAGCUACUGCCAACAUGGAGUAUAAUUUUUGGAACUCUCACUAGGAUAAUCGAUGGAAUAAUGUGACAGAUAGGGGGUGAUCCUGGUAAUAUAUUGAGCGCUCAAAAAGUUACAUGAGAUGGACUCCAUUCAGAGGAAUCCAAAUGACAAAUUGCAAUUGCUUCCACUCUAUCACCAUUUUCACCCCGAAUGAAGCCUUUGAAUACCUUGUUCUUGAUAAUUGUGUAAUGAUAGUAGAAAAUCGCAUAAGUAUAAGUCAUGGUACGACAUGCCACGAUAUAAGGAGCUGCAACUUUUUGCGGAGCAUCCAAAAUAGUAUACCUUUUUGGAGGGGAGUUGAGUUUGAAACAUGAGUUGUGGACAUAGCUUUGAUUUGGGUUUUUCCUCCUAUGAUUUCUUGCUCAAAAUCAAGUAUUGCCUGUGAGGAUGUGGCACAGUGCUGCUUUGUGUCUCCCUUUAUAGGUGGAGCUUCACAUUCUCUCAAUGGCAUCUUCGAUGGCUUUAACUUGUAGAGACUAUUGAAGACAAGUAUUGAAGCUUGUCAAAAUUCUUAUCUGAGCUUUUUUUAUGACUAUUCUUGCUUUGUUAUAGCUGUUCUGCCUGUUAAGAGAAGGUCAUCUGGUAAAUUAUGUUUUAUAGCUCAUUGCUUCUGGAUUUUAAUCCAGAAAUCCACAUGUAACUUAGUGUUGGACUCAUUGCAAUGCAUGACUGUAAUUUCUUCAAUUGAAUGCUACUAUUUGUGUGUUGGUCG
Molecule: RNA transcript, 1818 nt
Organism: Solanum pennellii
Lineage: Eukaryota; Viridiplantae; Streptophyta; Magnoliopsida; Solanales; Solanaceae
Gene name: cysteine--tRNA ligase-like
Exons: 3
Source: RefSeq, a predicted model, not a curated record